Molecule: ribosomal RNA, 257 nt
Filed under: uncultured bacterium
Lineage: Bacteria
Description: partial 16S ribosomal RNA
Rfam family: Bacterial small subunit ribosomal RNA
Source: RNAcentral
UACAGAGGGUGCAAGCGUUGUUCGGAAUUACUGGGCGUAAAGCGUGCGUAGUCGGUAUUGAGAGUCGCGGGUGAAAUCCCAGGGCUUAACCCUGGAACUGCCUGCGAGACCUCAGUACUAGAGUGUGAGAGGGGAUAGUGGAAUACCCAGUGAUAGCGGUGAAAUGCGUAGAGAUUGGGUGGAACACCGGGUGGCGAAGGCGGCUAUCUGGCUCACAACUGAACGAUCGGCACGGAAAGCGUGGGGAGCAAAGCAGG